Molecule: ribosomal RNA, 467 nt
Filed under: uncultured bacterium
Lineage: Bacteria
Description: partial 16S ribosomal RNA
Rfam family: Bacterial small subunit ribosomal RNA
Source: RNAcentral
GACGAACGCUGGCGGCGUGCUUAACACAUGCAAGUCGAACGGAAAGGCCCUGCUUUUGUGGGGUGCUCGAGUGGCGAACGGGUGAGUAACACGUGAGUAACCUGCCCUUGACUUUGGGAUAACUUCAGGAAACUGGGGCUAAUACCGGAUAGGGGCUCCUGCUGCAUGGUGGGGGUUGGAAAUUUUCGGCGGUUGGGGAUGGACUCGCGGCUUAUCAGCUUGUUGGUGGGGUAGUGGCUUACCAAGGCUUCGACGGGUAGCCGGCCUGAGAGGGUGACCGGCCACAUUGGGACUGAGAUACGGCCCAGACUCCUACGGGAGGCAGCAGUGGGGAAUAUUGCACAAUGGGCGGAAGCCUGAUGCAGCAACGCCGCGUGCGGGAUGACGGCCUUCGGGUUGUAAACCGCUUUCGCCUGUGACGAAGCGUGAGUGACGGUAAUGGGUAAAGAAGCACCGGCUAACUACGU